CGGUGACCCAUUGUGCAUGGACUCGCCGGGCGACCCCUGCUGCAGAUGGACGACGACACCCCUGCACCUCAGCUGGGUGAAGUGUUCGGAGCCCUGACCCUUUUCUCCCCCGAGGUCCCUCCAUCCUGAUGUAAACCGGUGGCUGCGACCAGUCACCCACAGGAAAGGGGGCGCCAAGCCCUCCUCCCCGCGGAUCUGAGCCAUGGGAUGGGAUACUUGUGGAUAUUGGAGGAACGCGUCUCCGAUGUUGGGAAAUGGAGCCCUAAAAGAAGAUCAGUCCAAAGAAAGUGCCAAGACCAGGUCCAGCACACUCCACAAGGGGAUCUAACGGAAACA
RNAcentral lists this long non-coding RNA (336 nucleotides) under Ictidomys tridecemlineatus (thirteen-lined ground squirrel). RNAcentral's name for it is "lncRNA (ENSSTOG00000033800.1)". Lineage: Eukaryota; Metazoa; Chordata; Mammalia; Rodentia; Sciuridae. The record is from RNAcentral.